AGAGCGAACGCUGGCGGCAGGCCUAACACAUGCAAGUCGAGCGCCCCGCAAGGGGAGCGGCAGACGGGAGAGUAACACGUGGGAACGUACCCUUCAGUUCGGAACAACCCAGGGAAACUUGGGCUAAUACCGAAUACGUCCGUAAGGAGAAAGAUUUAUCGCUGAAGGAUCGGCCCGCGUCUGAUUAGCUAGUUGGUGAGGUAACGGCUCACCAAGGCUACGAUCAGUAGCUGGUCUGAGAGGAUGAUCAGCCUCACUGGGACUGAGACACGGCCCAAACUCCUACGGGAGGCAGCGGUGGGGAAUAUUGGACAAUGGGCGCAAGCCUGAUCCAGCCAUGCCGCGUGAGUGAUGAAGGCCCUAGGGUUGUAAAGCUCUUUGUGCGGGAAGAUAAUGACGGUACCGCAAGAAUAAGCCCCGGCUAACUUCGUGCCAGCAGCCGC
This 443-nucleotide ribosomal RNA is filed under the name uncultured bacterium. Its description in RNAcentral is "SSU rRNA". It matches the Rfam family "Bacterial small subunit ribosomal RNA", at positions 26 to 518 of the family's 1533-position model. The record is from RNAcentral.